Rhinopithecus roxellana (golden snub-nosed monkey) is the source of this 317-nucleotide long non-coding RNA. RefSeq lists it as uncharacterized. Lineage: Eukaryota; Metazoa; Chordata; Mammalia; Primates; Cercopithecidae. The transcript has 3 exons. The record is from RefSeq and is a predicted model, not a curated record.
UCCCCUCCUCAGUACAAUUGCUGAAUUUGCCCUUAAAGAAGAGCCAGUGGAUGUGGAAAAAAUGAGAAAGUGCCUACUAAAACAGUUGGAGAGAGCAGAGGUUCGCCUGGAAGGGAUAGAUACAAUUUUAAAGCAAGAAUUUCUUACUUCCAUCUGUGCAGUACGUCAUGUUUUGUGGAUGGCAAAGACUUAUUCCUGAGGGAAUCGAUAUAGGGGAACCUCUUACUGAUUGUUUAAAGGAUGUUGAUUUGAUCCCCCCUUUUAAUCGGAUGCUGCUGGAAGUCACCUUUGGCAAGCUGUAUGCUUGGGCUGUUCAG